This 253-nucleotide unclassified non-coding RNA is filed under the name uncultured Micrococcaceae bacterium. RNAcentral's name for it is "contains 16S-23S intergenic spacer region". It matches the Rfam family "Bacterial small subunit ribosomal RNA", at positions 524 to 776 of the family's 1533-position model. The record is from RNAcentral. Lineage: Bacteria; Bacillati; Actinomycetota; Actinomycetes; Micrococcales; Micrococcaceae.
UACGUAGGGCGCAAGCGUUAUACGGAAUUAUUGGGCGUAAAGAGCUCGUAGGCGGUUUGUCGCGUCUGCCGUGAAAGUCCGGGGCUCAACUCCGGAUCUGCGGGGGGUACGGGCAGACUAGAGUGAUGUAGGGGAGUCUGGAGUUCCUGGUGUAGCGGUGAAAUGUGCAGAUAUCAGGAGGAACACCGCUGGCGAAGGCAGGUCUCUGGGCAUUAACUGACGCUGAGGAGCGAAAGCAUGGGGAGCGAACAGG